GGAGAGGUGGUAGAGCGGUUUAUUGCGUCGGUCUUGAAAACCGAAGAGGCGAGAGUCUCCGUGGGUUCGAAUCCCACCCUCUCCG
Molecule: transfer RNA, 85 nt
Filed under: Gloeobacter morelensis MG652769
Lineage: Bacteria; Bacillati; Cyanobacteriota; Cyanophyceae; Gloeobacterales; Gloeobacteraceae
Description: tRNA-Ser
Rfam family: tRNA
About the family: Transfer RNA (tRNA) molecules are approximately 80 nucleotides in length. Their secondary structure includes four short double-helical elements and three loops (D, anti-codon, and T loops).
Source: RNAcentral